CCAGCUGGCUCCCUCUCUCUCUCUCUCCCUUCAUCCUACCCUGUUAGUUGGAGAAACAAGAUCUGCUUUCUAAGUCACUAGAUGGCAAGGCCUCAGAGCUCAGUAUCUCAACAAGGAAAAAUAAGCAACAGCGUGUGGUUCUGUUGUCUGAGGCAGGCCAAAGCUUAGGCAGUCAUAAUGUGCAGAAGUGCCUGAAGAGAUGCUAUAUCGAUUAUGAGAUACAAUUGUGAAUUUUAUUACCUUCUGGGAAAAAAUAGAAAACAUAAAAGCAAGAGUUUUGUGCCAGAUGUAAGAACUAAACUCUACGGUUAUCUGAUUAGCAUUAGAGACAUGUGCUUUGAAUGUGAAACACUUCUAAGUCUCCCGAGGUGAGUGCUCGAUCUUAUCUGUGCCAUGUAUGUCAGAUUUUUAUAAGCCUGUUCUUCUCAAAUGGGACCCAGAUGAAGUUCAAUCGUUUACCUGGAAAAGUCUGAGAGGUUCACUGGAUUUUUUUUUUUUUAUUAUUUUAGAAGUGUGAUUUUUUUUUGUUUUUUUUUAAUAAGAGAAAGGUAAAGCUUUGGGACUUUGCCUGGAAUCGAGGGGGCAGCCUGAGUCAGGGCACCAGGUGGUAUGAGACUGAAGGAGAACUAAAGGGAUUCAUCCUGGUGCUGCCUCUUGGUAUGCCACCAUGAGACUGCCCUCGUCUUUACAAUGUCAGCUCUGGGGACAGAAGCUUCCUCUUAAGUCUGCAUAUUACGCUUGGUGGUGAGAGAAUCUCCUAGUCCCUGCCCGCAUGCAUAUCUUAAUGUAUCCUCCAAAAUGUUGUUUGAUUCUGCAAAACCUAUCUCUGGGCACUCUAAAUAUCCCACAUGCGACUCCUUUUGUGUUUGGAGAGUUCCAGGGGAGGUGCAAGUCAGGGUGAGGUCCAGUGUUCCUUCCUGCCUCUCACAGUUUAUCAGCAUCUACCAUUUUGUCAAAUGAUGAUCCCCUUUCUGUGAGGACAGAAAGAGACAGGUGCUCUCACGCAUUUCUGGAAGGAAUAUAAACUGGUAACGUCUUUCAGUUGGGCAAUUUGGCAAUAUAUCUCAAAAGCUCUUAACGUGUACAUAACCUUUUAUUUAAGAGCUUUACUCCUAAGGAAAUAUGACAAAGCCCACCAAAAAUAUAUGUAUAAGGAUGUUCCCUGGACCACUUUGGAUGAUGGAAAAAAUUGAAAACCACGUAAGUUUCCCAACUGUAGGAGCUAGUUGUCAUGGCCCACCCACUGCAACGGAAGAAAAACAGUCAUUAAAAAGGAUGUUAUUCAUGAAUGGCUGGACACAGUGACUCACGCCUGUAAUCCCAGCACUUUAGGAGUGCGAGGCAGGCGGAUCAUGAGGUCAGGGGUUCGAGACGAUCCUGACCAAGAUGAUGAAAGCCCAUCUCUACUAAAAAUACAAAAAUUAGCUGGACAUGGUGGCAUGCACCUGUAGUCCCAGCGACUCAGGAGUUUGAGGUAGGAGAAUCACUUGAACCUGGGAGGCAGAGGUUGCAGUGAGCUGAGAUCACACCACUGCACUCCAGCCUGGACAACAAGAGCAAAACUUCAGCUCAAAAAAAAAAAAAAAAAAGAAAAGAAAAGGAUCUUAUUCAUGAACUUGGAAAAAUGCUUUCUAUAUAUUUUUAAAGUGAAAAGGUAGGUUUCCAAAGAGUACAUAGUAUAAUCCAGGGCUAUAAAUGUGUGUGUGUGUGUGUGUGUGUGUGUAAGAGAAAUGCACACUGGGGUAAAAUUGCAUGAAAAUAUUACUAGUGGUUAUUUCUAGGCAAGCAAGUAUGAGUUUAACUGAUUUUUCUUGAUUGGCUUCCCUGUCUCAUGUAACUUCUCUACAGUGAAAACAACACUUGUGUCAGAAUUUUUCCAAGCUGCCUUGCAUUCCUGACAAUCCAUCUCAAAUCUUUGAGGGAUUUUUCAUUUUUGUUGCAUCUUCCCCUCUACAACCACAGUAUCUGAUAUGGUCAGCCUUUGUCUGCAGGAAGAAUAAAGCCUUGGGUUCCCACUCUACUUCCUACCAUGCAAAGCUGGCAGAAAAGAUGAGGUCUGCGCUCUCCAGUGGAGAUUUCAGACACUCUCGUACCUCCUGCUAGCACCUCCGUGCCUGCACCAGAUUCUCUUCCCAAGCUUUGCUCACCUGCUCUGGCAGGCAUUCAAAUUCCUUACUCAUGGCUCUCCCCAGGCCCUAGAAACAAGAGUGGGUUCUUAAGAUUCCUCACCAUCCUCCUCCCUGAAUGUAAAGAUUAAGAACGAUUUAUCUCUCCCCUCCCGUUAAAUAUGCCAUUCCUUCUCUCCAAUCCUCUCUCCCCCUCUGCUUUCCUGGGUCAACGAGGCUGGGGAAACUGCUCAGCACCAUCGUUAUCAGCAAGCUUAGUGCCCCCCUCUCUCCCCAUGCCCUUGCUUCAUCGUUACUCCUCUUGGGUCUCCCAACACAACGUGUAAAUCUUCUCAUUACCUCUCCCUGUUAUCCUGGAAUUCAAGCUCAUUCUCUUCCCAAAUAUAGCAGAGACAGGAGCUCCAGACUUCACCCUUGGACAGCAGCAGAGAGGAAUCCUACCCCUGUCGUCACCCUGGCAGACACCAGCCUCACUGCCAAGUUUGGAAGGUGUCUUUGUAUCUGGCCCUGUUGGGUUCAUUACAAAGGGAAUCCUUCUAUGAACCUAACUAUCUAUGCCCUUUGAAAGCACCGGUCUUCAAGGAUCAUAAAAUCUCACUGGGCAGAUGUGACUCCAAACUUAACAUGCUCAUCCAGUAGCAAUCUGCCUCCCACCUCACCUCUCAUCCGAAACUGGACUUCUAAAGCUAAGAGUAUCCUCUCUUGUUUACCAAAUCCACCUCCUAAGUUCACACUGUCUCAGCUACACACCUCUGUUGGUCUUUGCCCUACUGAGGAUGAUCUACAUGAAACUCAGGAAAAUAUAAAGGCUUUGACUCAGACAGACUUAGGUCUGUCUUAGCUCUGACUCUUUCUAGCUGUGUGACCUUGGGCAAGUUACUCUACCCCUCUGAUCUUCAGCUAUAAAAUGUUGACAACAUCUACUGUGUACCGAUGAUUUCAGAAGCAGAAGGAAACCCAGGUGGAGUCUAUGAAUAUGGCUUUGCUCUCUUGGUCUGGAGGAUCUUUGCUCAGAGAAAAUUCCAGAGCAUUUUUUUCCCCUAACAUAUACCAAGCUGGAAAUAAUAAUAAUAAUUAAUCAUUUCGAUGUAGAGUCAUUCUCAUUGUAACCAGCAGAGAGGAACAAAGUCACGUGAGGAGUAAAAUGAAAGAACGGUUGGGCAUUUUUGUGUUUUGGUUUAUCUCACCCCCCUGAGCUGAUUCCUCUAUUUUCUUUUUAAACAGACACAGUGGAGGCAGUUAAAUGAGCCUCAACCUGAAUGCAGACAAGCAAGGCGUCAAUUUUAGGCUGUGAUGAAUAAAUUAUGCAGAGGUUUUUGGCUUUAAUUUUCUCCUCGGUUGACAUGUACUUUGAGUUGCCUACUGCCUGGGAGUCAGUGUUUAACUGGACAAAAAGAGACAGAGCUAACCUGUGCAAUCCUUGGCCAUAGGCGGUUCUGUUUUUGACAGCUACAUUACCCCAAAUUGCAGGGCUUUGUUUGUUUUCGUUUUUCUCCUGUUGAGGGAAAGAGCAGCAGGAAGAGAAUCCCUCCCUCACAGGUCAUUCUGAAAACGACCGUAAAGCUAUCAACAAGAAAAGCAACCGGAUGGGGCUGCUCCGCUCAAUCUGGCUGAUAAACUCAAACACAUCUAGAUGGUUUUCUGACAGGUUAGGAGCUGACAGCUUGAUAAAUGGGAACGAGACACCCUGAAUUUGUUGGUGACAGGUGCAGUUUCCAAGAACUUGCUUUCUUCCCCUGUAGCAGCCCCGACUCCUGGAGAGGGGGAAGGGAACAGUUGGCUCAGGUUCACUUUGGGGCUCUCAAAACUAACAUUCUCAUAGGGAUGGAAGUUUCGUUAACAACCUAAUUUCUUCCUCACCAUCCUUUUCUUUAAGAAGCAAAGACAAGGCCGGGCGUGGUGUCUCACACCUGUAAGCCCAGCACUUUGGGAGGCCGAGGCAGGUGGAUCACCUGAGGUCAGGAGUUCAAGACCAGCCUGGCCAACACAGUGAAACACCGUCUUAACUAAAAAUACAAAAUUAGCCAGGUGUGGUGGUGUAUGUCUGUAGUCCCAGCUACUUGGGAGGCUGAGGCAGGAGAAUCACUUGAACCCAGGAGGGGGAGGUUGCAGUGAGUUGAGAUUGCGCCAUUGCACUCCAGCCUGGGUGACCAGAGUGAAACUGUCUCAAAAAAAAGCAGCAGCAAAGACAAAACAGAAAACAAACAAUUCUUCUAAACUGAAACAGUGUAUGGCAGUCCCAAAGCAGAUCUGUGCAGGAGUCCAGCACUGGGCUGUGUUAUGGCCACAGAGCACACGGCUAUCUUAGCUGUCAUAGCAAGUGACAACUUUUUUUUCUGGGGUAUCUCAAACUCGCCCCUUCCCCCGACCUAUGCCAUGUAGUUUCCUACUCCUACCCUGGAACCAGAAAUAUCCUCUUUUCUUCCCACGAAGAACCUGGAUCAUCACCACUUUCAUCGCUUCCUCGCUAUGUUACCUUGAGCAGGGUAUGUAAUAUCUUUGGGCCUCCGUUUCCUCAUCUGUGAAACGAAGAGUCAUUUAGUCAGCAAAUAUUUAUGGAGGGCUUAUUUUAUGCCAGAUAUUUUUCAGGCAUCAGGUUUGUGGUGGUAAACCAGACAAACAAAUCCCCUGCAUGAAGAGCCUGCAUGCUGGUGGGUCCAUCUUCCUUAUCCAUCUGCCCAACAAUUCAUUCUUAAACAUCAUCCACAGGCCAGCUGUUAACUCUAGAUGCUGGUGAUUCAAUAGCAAAGGGAAGCUUCCCUUCUUGUGGAGUGUAUGUUUGUAGAGAAAAUGUGCAAAUGAGACUACAUGAGAUGUAUGCAAGAAAGGGACACUAUUAGCAUAUUGCAAGUGUGCACUAUCUAGUGACUACUGCCCUAUCAUCAACAUCUUCAGUAUCACCAUGCGUGAAUCAUCUGAGAUCACUGCGACAGACCAGUUGUCCUGACUGCGGACAUGCGGUUUUCAUGCUCUAUGCCUGCAUUACACAUGUGUGAGGUUGGAUGGAUCUAAUCAGAGGACAACAUGGCCAGAUGGUGGGAGGUUCCACUGCACCAAGCAGGGACCAGAGGUUCCACUGUACCCCACAGCAGGAAUCAUUUCCUUCAUCUUGCUGUCUUUCUACAUGGUUGUACCCAGUAUAAACUGAAAUAGAUUGUCUAAUCUGCCCGUUCCCACUCCCGUUCCAGAAGCAGACUUCACAACUGUACCUCAAACUCAAAGGUAAACUUUAGCAUACAUAUUUCUGGAGUCCCGGGAUAUAUCAUCUUCAAUCCCUGAGAAGUGGAUUUUGUUUUUAAUAAAAAGUGUUCAACAAAUAUCUGUAGAAAUAAAUGCAUAGGAAAAAUGUGCAGAUGUCCGUAGCAUGUAAGCUGAAAACCAGGGCAUCCCAGAGCCCUCUGCUUCAUAGAAAUGCCUGCUUUAAAUCUGUUUUCUCUGAGGGAAAACCUUUCCACUACCUCUCUCAUCCUCCCUCCCUUGAUAUGUUUCAUGAGCAAGUCUCUGGCGCUACUACCUUCUGGGUCUCAGGACUACCUUCUAGAUUCUGAGGCUACCUUGGGGAGUGAGAGUUCAAUGGACUUACAUUAUAGGUGGGGAGAUAGGAAACACGUAAGACUACAUGUAGAUAAACUGCAAAAAUGAUUUAUGUAAAAAAGGGGUUACAUAGUCAUGGUGAUGGGAUGUAUUUGGAGGAGGUCAUAUUAGGGCUGCGAGGAAGGUCCCUCUGGGGAAGCGAUGACUCUUGAGCUGAGACCUGAAGAAGGGGAAGGCUCCAGUGGGAAGACCUGGAGAGGCAUCCAGGCAGAGGAAGAGCAAGCACAGUUGCCCUCCCACCCAGUUGACUGGGGAAAGAGGAAGCACGAGGCAGAGAAUGGUGCAGGAUGAGGUUGGGCAGGGUAGGAGGAGCCGGUAGAAGCAUGAUGUUGACAUUGAGGGACCAAGUAAGGAGUUGGAUUCAACCUGGCUUGCUGAGGAGCUGGCUUCAGGGCAAAAUGAGGGCAUGCGUGCAUGUGUGCGUGUGCGUGUGUGGCAGGGAGGAAAGAAAUCAGAAAAGAAAGAAAGAGUCUUAGGUUUUUAGUUGGAGCAACUGGGUGAAUUAUGGCUGACCCUUUACCCAGGGUUGCUUAAGGGCCAUAUUGGUGAGGACUCCCUAGACUUAUGCUUGAAUCUCAGUUUCCCCACUUGUCAACUGAGUAACUCUGAAAAGUUACAUCACAUCUCUGAGCCUUGAUUUCUUUAUCUGUGAACAUGGUAUAUUACCUUUAGGGUUGAGGUAGGGAUGACGCAAGAUAGCCACUGGGAAGCACUAAGCAUGGAAUGAAAUCCUAACAAAGGCUCCAUGCCUUCAGAUUCCUUCCCUUCCUCCUCCUUGCUGUCUUCUCUAGACUCAUACCUGUCUCUGCCUGUUUUAACUCAGAGUUUGCUUGUUGCCUUGCAUUGGACAUGAGAAGCAUGCAACAUUUCAUCCACACUUCAAGGCAGCUGUUGUCACUCUACUCUCUCCUCCUGUUCACAGGUCAAAUGCAUUCUUUCCAAAUCCUUCUGUCCCCUCAGGCCGUGCCACAGAUAUCCCCCACAUGGAUUUUUAGGUUUUCUUCUCCUCUCUAGGUGUAAGUUCCUGGUAAAAGCAGAGAUGAAGUGUUUGGCUGAGCGAAAUGCUAAGAGUAGCUGGAGCAGACUUGCCUUAGAUGACCUCUGAAAUUCUUUCCAACUUCAGGAUGUUAAGCUCCAGCUUGACACCGAUUCUGGGCAUUGUCCUUGAAGAGCCGGAAGGCAACAAUGGGACAAAGACAGGUCCCCUCCACCGCCCACCCCAUUUUGUUUUCAUGACAGCCAUGAAUAGAACUAUGGUUUUCUAACUGCUGACUUCCGAUCCAUGCACAGAAGCAAAACCAUCUACAAAUAACUUUUUCCCUCUUUUUCAUAAAAAAAAAAAAUUUUUUUUGAGUCAGAUUUUUGCUCUUGUCGCCCAGGCUAGAGUGCAGUGGCGCCAUCUCAACUCACUGCAAUGUCUGCCUCCCAGGGUCAAGUGAUUCUCCUGCCUCAGCCUUCCAAGUAGCUGGGAUUACAGGCACCUGCCACCACACCCAGCUAGUUUUUGUAUUUUUAGUAGAGAUGGGGUUUUGCCAUGUUGGCCAGGCUGGCCCCUCAGGUGAUCUGCCCGACCUCUGGUGAUCUGCCCACCUCAGACUCCCAAAGUGCUAGGAUUACAGGCAUGAGCCACCACACCUGGCCUUCAUUGAAAAAUUUUAAACUGCCUUAUUGAGAUAAAAUUUACACACCUUGUAGUUCAUCCAUUUAAAGUAUAGAAUUCAGUGGUUUUAGUGUACACACAGAUGUGUGCAACCAUCACUGUCGUCAAUUUUAGGCAAUUUUCAUUACUUCACAAAGAAGCCCCAUAUCCCUUAGCUACUAACUCCUAUACCCUCUUCCUCCUACCUAGCCCUGAGCAACCACUAACCGGGACUCACACUAUGCCCACCUCACUGUUAGGAAGGAUCGUUCUUAACUGACAAGGAAGACAUCGUAAAUAUUAGCUAAUUUCAAUCCUGAAAUGGGAUAAGUUUAAUAGUUUGUAUAUAAAUUCUGGACAUUUGUAAGGCAAUUCAACAAUGUCAAGGGGGAAACGUUGGAUUCCUCACUAAUGGAGCUUUCAUGAAAAAUACAGGUAACUCUAAAACCAUAGUUAUAAAAGUAUCUCAUUCUCCUGUUGUUUGGAACACUAAAUUAUAUGUCUUUUUAAAAGCCGGCAUCUCUCACUCUCUCCACCUACCUAUCUACCAACCCAUCUAAAUAUUUUCAGAGUUUGUUCUAAAGUUUGAAAAAUUACAUCCAGAGAGGUGCAGAGCCUUGUUCAAGGUUACACAAUGACUUCUCAGGGAGCUGGACCUCCCAGUGAGGUCUCUUGCCUCUUGGUUCACUGCCUUCUCCAGCUUCACACACUCUGCUGAAUUCGCAUCACUCAGGGCAUCUGACUCAUGAAACUGAACUAUAUUGCUGAGCAAGAAGAGAAACAUUCUUUGUUGACCCCAUUAUCUUUCCAGUUCAAACUAGAUCUUGGCUUCUACCACUCCAGGAAAGGCCAGAUCCCAAAAGAAAACAGAAUUUUAAAAAGUAAGUUCCUUUUUAGCUUUUGAGUUUUGAAGAGACCAGUUUUAGAGAUUUAAGGGAGAUGGAAGGGGUUUUCAAGGGUACAUUUGACUGCACAGAUUUUCAUAUCACUGUGACUUUAGAUCCAAAGGCCUGCGUUUAACAGACUGUGUUGUAUUUCUUCCAAAAGACAGUUCCACUUAGAAGAGGCUUUGGGGCUCUGGAAUCAUCUUGAGAGAAAAGGAGGGGUGGCUCUUUAAAGAUACCAGUUCAGAAUGUGGUCAGUUCUCUCUUUAGGGAGGGGCUGUCAUCCACCAACUCUCUGCCCCAGGUCCUCUGCCAAAAAGACCGGGGUUCAGCCAUACCAACCUCUCCUCUAAUAUACCCCGACUGUCUAACUCCCGUGCAUCUGAUCCCAACUGCUGCAGGGGGUUCAGGAAAUCCCCAGAGGAGGUAACCCUGGUCUUCUACAUUUUAGCACACCUCUGAGAAUGGGGAAAGGACUGCAAGCAUCCCUUCUGAAAACCCUGCUCCUUUGAUGAACUUUCGCCCUAAGUUCAGGAGGCUGGUCUGCCACCAUUCUCACUCCCACGGUUGACAAAUAACCACGGCAUCCUCAGACUGGUGCUCCAGGCAGGUAGAAAAGUCAUCACACAGGGCACACAGAUCCCCUCUACUGAGCGAAAAUGCAGCUGAACAUAGAAAGGGACUUCCUGGACGUAGUGCCUUCCUGUACCUGGCAGGUGAUGUCCCCAACCAGGUCCCUCCACAGCCUACACAGGUGGAGGUGGAGGAGCAAGUAAAGUGGACGCAAGACUCACCUCACCUCUCCAGGAAGCCUGCAAUCACCAGGCUCUCCAGAGCAUGCCGUAGAGCAAGGGCUGGAGUUUUUCCUAGUGAACUCUGCUUCUGAAAUCCUACUUCUGCUGAAAUAGAUCAGUUCAUACAUCAUCAGGGCCAGUCUCACGUACGCUGUUCUGUUCUGGACCAAGUCACUCCAGCCAGGAAAUCCAACCCCUUUUCCCUCAUUUGCGAACAUCACACCCCUGCACAGACACCCCCACACACAGCCAUCCACACAGACACACCUACAUAGAGACAUCUGCAUUGACACAGCCAGCCACACAUGGGCACAUAUCUGUAUACCUACACAGACACCCGCACGGACACACAGGCACACACCCACAGGAUGCAGGCUCACGUGAAGGUUGUAUAGAAGGAAAAAGAUUUAAAAAUAAAUUUUAAGCAUCUUUGUUCUAAAAAAAAUUCAGCCACUUUUCUCUGCAGGAUUUUGUUUCUUACAUUCUUCCCUGGAUUUCCUCCUCUGUGUCCCUCCCCAGAAGUCCUCUAGACACCUGUUCCUCACUCCACCUCCUCUCAUUUUGUUAGGCAGAACAAUUUACCUGUGACCAAUCCCACCUCCAAAUGAAGUUCCUACUUUUGCCAUGCGUCCAGAGCUAUGGGGGGGCGCCCUGCCGGGGUCCUAUUCAUCUCACUCCCACCCCAUCUCCUGCAAGAGGAAAGGAGCAGUACAGAGAUUAACUUCUACAAUUGACUCUACCCCUGGAAGAGCCAAAGCAGGGAGAGUCGAUUUUAAUUUUAAACAAUACUAAAUCUCUCUCCAUGAACCACCAACUUCAGCCUUACCUUGGCGCAGUAGCUCCAUGACCUCUGAAAGUUAUGGCAGGCAUCGCUGGAUACCAGGAGUCAGCUAUGAUUCUCAGUGCUUUCAUUCAUGAUCUCACUCAGUCUCGAGCACUCUUAUGAGGUCACUGAUUCAAUUGUUCUCAAUGUGGCUACAGAGUCAAACUUCCUGAGAAACGGUACCCACAAUUUUCAGAGCGCCAUUCACCGGCUAAAAGGACACGUUUCCCUUCUCACGUUUCCCAUAAGGGUGAAGCCAACAUACACCAGGGAGCAUACAGAACUCUGGCUAAGCAGUCAAAACACAUGGCUGCAUCUAAAAUGUCACUGAGACCUCAGAGCAGGAAAAGGUGAAAGAGGGGCUAUAGAUCUUGUCUACGCUUCUUCUGACAACCAAGCAACAAUUGCAUAAACAGGGCAGGAGGCGAAGUGAAAGCAAUCCUCUGUCCUCUCGUUCCCAUUUCCAGUUAGAACUGAACCCAACAUCCCAGCCUGCAGGAUUCCUGCUGGGGCAACUCCCAAAGCCAAGGAGUCUGAAGAGACGCCCCAUCUGACAACACACAAAGGAAAGACCUCAGAGGGUGUUGCCUAGGGUCAGGCAUCCCAGGCACCCCGCCUAUGAGCCAAACCCAAGAGGAAGGAGAGACACCCAAAGACCUCCCAGUUUGAAAGUGAAGGGAAAGAUGCUAAGUGCUUAGAAGUUUCCAUGUACAGACAAUUGGAGGAUUACCUAAGGUCACAUUCCUAGUGUUAUUAGACUCAGAAAUUGCCUCACCUACGACUGCUCCCACUUUGUGACUCACAGCUCUCCAUGCUGCACUGGUAGGAAACAGAUGUCAUGAACGUUUUACUGUGGUUUCCAAUUGCCACCCUUCACUCAUCUGAUUCAGACCUAAGAGCCUUUGGCUUUUCCUUUCUUUUCUUUCUCCUCCUCUACCCUUUGGGCCUAGAGGGGAACAUCUAACAGGCAGAGGCUGACUCCACCUGUCAACCCAGCCCCUUACAGCAAUGGAGAACAGCCCAGCAAUGCCCGAGAAAUGAGUUCUUUUUCUUUCCAGAACUUCACCAAAUAAGGAGAGAAGGAUCAGAAAAUCACGGUGAUUAGAUUAUAUGGAAGAAGGUCAAAGAUUAAAAAUCCACUGCCUCUCAUUAUUAGAGGAGGGAUGACAGAUUCAGACCAGAGCACAAAAGAAAAUACAUUAUUUCAAAACAGGAUAUGAAACCCAGUCCCAGGUGAUUAGUCUCUGUUAAGUAAAUUUACCAUCUAAUCUUUUAACUGUCUUCCGAAAUUGUGGGUCCAACAUUCUCGCCCUCCUCCAUUGGAAGCUUAACCUUGGGCGGGUACCGUCAUCCACCCUGAGCUCAGGCAGCACCCUUAAUGGAAUGGGGAGCUCAUUUCAGGGGAGUGAGGGUGGGGUGGAAGGGUCUGUAAGCGAAAUGCACCUAGUAAUAAAAGCAGGAUGUGUGCACCGCAGACCAGCACAACUGGAGGUGGGAUGGGGAUGGAGGCUGGGGCAAUUUUCCUGGCUUUGGUUUCAGAGCCUGGCCCAUCAAUGAGGAGACUAUCCUUCAACCGCACUCCAGGCUCAUCCUGGGAAAACUGGGCUCUCCUCUUUCCACGCAGCCCCAAGGGGCCCACAUGCCAAAGAAUCUCAUGCUCCGGGGUUGUUCUCAAACCAGACCAACCUUCAAAGCUUUGAUUUUAAACGAAUGCUGCUCUGCAGGCCAAAUAUCACAGGCCUGCGUUGGGGCCCAAAGAGGACAAGAUGUGCGCUUGGAGGCCAGACAGGCUCACAACACUAUCCAAGCGAUGAGUAAACAAAGAGAAAACAAGACACAGUGGAAAAGAGGGUCUGUUUCUCAGCAUCUUUCUUGGCUUGGGUACCAGUCAACAUGGCGUGUAACAAUCAGAGCGGCAGAGGAUAUCAAACCCAAAGCGACUCUUCCCUAUUUACCAGGAGGAACUCCUUUUUUUCCGGUACUUCACUGUUUUCUCGUCUGUUUAGUCUGAAAGGCUGAACUAUUGCACAAAGACAGUUCUCUCCAAGAAUGAGUUUUCCAGAGAAAGCUCUUCAGACAAGGGCAGUGUGUGAACUGCUCUCAGCAGCCUGGAGAAUGGGGUGUGUGUUUAAUAGAAGGGGGCUGGGGCCGAGCAGGACUCCCUGAAGGAUUCCCAAGGUGCUCUGUUUGUGUGAUUUAUCCCUUCUGGAAAAUCCAAACAUACAAAUGUGCCUGCUGUAAAAGCCAGGGCAGACUCCAGGACUCGGGCUCCCACACAAAGCUAACCACACACGGCUUGCCUGCCCUGGAGGUUUCCUCAAUUUUAACCUUUGUAGGUUUCAACCAAAACAGAUCAAAGGGAGGUGCAUGUAGUUUUGCUGGGGAGCAGCAGGCCUCACUUCUCUCUCUCCUUAGCUCCUACGCUGACUUCGCAAAAAGCCCUGGGAGAAUAGGAACUGGGCAGAAAGAGGCCUCCCUCAGCUCCUGGGAUUUCAGAACCAGACAUUGUCAUCCUGUUCACCAAGCAGCAAAAACACACGACUCUGAGGUCCCACACUUUACAGAAGGGGACACAACCCUCAAAAGACUCCAGCCCCAAACACUUCUCAUCUAGUAACCAUUUGUUUAUAGAAAUUUUAUUCACUUUAUGAGAUGCCAGACUAGCUCGGCAUGCCUUUGAAAUGCCAGCCCCCACACCCUCUCCUCCCUGCCUAAAAUGUUCUAUGGAGUGGUGCCGGGUUCUGGGAUGUGUGUAAAAGGUGAUGGAGAAGGCAGUCUGAAUUAAAAACGCAUCGUCCCUUGGACAUCAUUCCAAAAUGACCAAGGGGAAGGCUGCUUCCCCCAGAAGACUCAAAAUGCAUGAUUUUAUGUGAGUCCCAAAACAAUCUUGCGAUGUAAAUGCUUUUACUUUCAUCCUUUUGUUAUACAAGGAAAUUAAGGCUCAGAGAAUAUCAGUUUUUGGCAAAGGUCACCCAGCUUGGUAAGUGGCAGAGCUAAGAUUAGGAUCAAGGCCUUUCUCCACACUCCAAGCUCUUUCUUUCUCCCAUAUUACCUAUCAACUUGGGCAAUAUGGCAAGGCUUCAGGAAGGCUCCAGAAUAUUCCAUGCCCUUUGAUCCAGAACUACAAGGCUAUAAACUUAACCCAAGACACACUUAUGAAGGGAGACAAAGAUAAAUUUACAACCAUAUCAUCAGUAACACUAUUGAUAGCAGCAGAAAUUUGGGAGAGAAUAUUUAAUUAUAUUAUAUGGACUGUAUUUAGCAUUCUAUCCAUACAAUAGAAUACUAUGCAAGUAUUCAGUCAUUAAAGACUCUAGGGUAGAAGAAUAUUUAAUGAUGUGGAAAAAUGUUUACAAUGUAAAGUGAAAAAAGUAUGUAACCAAAUGUCCAUCAAAAGCAAUGGUUACACUCAUUUUGGUAAAUCUACACAAUGAAAUACUACGAAGCUAUGGAAAAGAAUAAUUUAGUUCUAUACAAGUACUGACUUAGAUUAAUUUCUUUUUGCUAAUUUAUAUUUUUCCCAAAAAGAUAUAUUUUUUAAUAAGACAAAAAGCAUUGAGAAUAUUCAACAUUCAUCUGCAGGGCACUAUUUAGAAACUAUCUCAAUGUAUGACUUUGCCAUUAUGUGCGCAAUGCUGAUAUUAUACACAAGCAAAGUUGCUACAAUUUAUGUAGCAUGUAAUUUGAACCACAUGUCAGUUUAUUCAUUAAUAUGCAUUUGACUUGUUGUAGGGUAAAUGCCAAUAGAGACUGACUAUACAACAGUUCAGAUUCUGGUAAAUUGGGGGUUGGGGACAAAGAGGGUGGGGAUUGGAUCUGAAUAGAGACAGGUGCAGAUGACAGAUUCCCAAGAUUGCAGUGAGGCUUGGGGGCCUCCAGGAAGGAGGCAGGAGGAUCAUUCACUCCUCCUAAGCAGUAGCACCAAUGCAUAUGGUGGGGUUCCCAUGAGCAGGCCCUUCCUUAUACCCAUAAAAAUAAAACAAGUCCUCACCCAGAGAAGCCAAGAGCAGACCAAAUCAGCAGUCACUGAUCCUGCCAAUGCUCCCUGACUUUAAUUAUUGUAGAUAGAGCUGAAUGGGUUAUGCAGGACUCCAAGCACUGCUGCCCCCAUCCCUCCUGCCCUUUACUAUAAUAACCAUAAGUCUUAAUUUCUUCUUUGAUCAAUAACUCCAUGUCUGAAUUCUAAAAUACAUCAUCUGCUCUCAUAUUCCUCUGAUAAAUGGUUUGAAUUAAUGUAAAGCACAUUAUUCUUAGAGCCUGGGCUUAUUAUAUCAAAGACAUCUGGUUUCCCAAGAAACUUCUAGGACCCUGGAUGUUUAAGGGCACUAAAGGCUAAGACUGGAGUCCCAUUAACUCUUAGGUGAUCAUUACCAGUCAAUGAACUGUUGAUUACCGGUCCCUGAAGACAUAAACACUGAGGUCGAGAGUAUCUAAAAAUGAUCAUAGCAAUGUGACGUUGCUACAUUUGUAUACAUGAUAUUAACCACCACACUUUCCAUGACCCCACAUGCACAGUUGUGUAAUUCUUUCCCUUUUUCUAAUUAUGGGCAUUCUGAUUAUAUUUUUUGAAAUGUAAUAUUAUGCCUCUUUAAUCUAAUAAUUAAAUAUU
Long non-coding RNA from Callithrix jacchus (white-tufted-ear marmoset), 14469 nucleotides. RefSeq lists it as uncharacterized. The record is from RefSeq and is a predicted model, not a curated record. Lineage: Eukaryota; Metazoa; Chordata; Mammalia; Primates; Cebidae.